This is a long non-coding RNA of Lepus europaeus (European hare), 1194 nucleotides long. RefSeq lists it as uncharacterized. The transcript has 3 exons. Lineage: Eukaryota; Metazoa; Chordata; Mammalia; Lagomorpha; Leporidae. The record is from RefSeq and is a predicted model, not a curated record.
GCCUAAAGGGCCAGACGCUCAGGGCUCAGGCCCAGGGUGGCCCCUGCACAGGCCACGGAGCUAGGGUGAGAGGAGGGACCCUGGGCUGGCAGAAGCCGAGAACCGACCCCAGCAGAGCUAAGAUAUUUCCAGAGCCCCACCGUGAUGCUCAUGACAGCCCCGGAGCGGCCAGGAGGUGCAGAAUUUCUGCUCUAUGUUCCUCGGACAAAGGCAACGUCGGGGAGCUUGUCAGCAGGUGCAGAGGGAAAGGCAAGAGAAGGCAGUGUGUCCCACGAGUGUGUCCAGUGUGGCUGCGUGGGAACCGUGGCAGGGACUAAGACCAACUGGAACUCAGCCCACGCUCCUCCUCUGUGCCCAGUGAGGAUGCCACCAGCAUGUCUAACUUGGCUGCCACCUCACAAAUGACAGCAUUACCCUGGGGGCGAGCCAGGGCCCGGGGCAGGAACCACAGGCAGUAACUCAACACAGCGAAUGAGGGGAGGGGUAUUUGAAAGAACAAAAAAGAAGAGGGUUCAAGGCCAUCUCUCUGCAGCCAAGUGACUUCCCCGCUGUGCUCAUCGCGCCGCAGAACCCAGGUCACAUCCGUGGAGCUGGAGAAAUUCCCUGAUGACAGCCGGCGACCAUGGCGACCAUGGCGACCAUAGUGGACAAGUUGUGGGGUUAACACUUUGGAGGCUGCCGAGUUUCCUUAGCAGAGCUGUGGAGUGUGACAAUGGUGUUUGUGUCCAAACUAUCAAACGCCAUUAUCACACUAAAUAGCUACUGCUAGGCCAUCCUUCUGCUCAGUAACCAUCUUGACAUCUGUUGCGUGGUCCUCUGGACAAGGCGCAUCUACCUGAGUGCUCCCCUCCUGUGUAAUUCCUGGAUAAAGUCUCAUCACCCCGUGCUCAUCCCCAGUGCAGCUCCUUGAGCCUUCUCCCCCUCACAUGCUGCUGUUAAAUAUUUAGCAGAUGGUAGAUUCUUGUUUUCUGGACUCAACAAAGAUUGCAGAGCACCCAGCACCAGGCUAUAAGCAACUGGGAAUCAUUCAGCCCAUGCUUACUGAGUCGAAAUGAAGAGUUAGAGAAGUGUUUGACUCGGAAAACCAGAGCGGGGUUAAAUCUAACUUACGCAAACCACAGGUGUGCAGGUACAACAUUAAGGUGCAUUAUCAUUUAAGAAGUUUAACUUUCUAAUAAACUUACCCAUGGCUCA